Non-coding RNA from Podarcis lilfordi (Lilford's wall lizard), 1400 nucleotides. The record is from the annotation of a GenBank genome assembly. NCBI's taxonomy places the organism in Eukaryota, Metazoa, Chordata, Lepidosauria, Squamata, Lacertidae.
GCAAAGGGCAAAGGGCAAAAGGCAAAGGGCAAAAGGCAAACAGCGAAAAGGCAAAGGCCUGGGUCAGGGUGAAAGUGAAGGUGAAGGCCUGGGCCAGGGAGAAGGCAAAGGCAAAGGCCAGGGCCAAGGCAAAGUUAUAUACCCGGGUCAGGACAAAGACGAAAGCGAACACAAAGGGCCAGUCCAAGGCGAAGGCAAAGAUGAAAGAACGGGCCUAGGUGAUGGCGAACGCGAAAGCCCUGGCCCAGGCCAGGGUGAAGGUGAAGGUGAAGGUGAAGGCAAAUACUCUUAUCAAGGCAGAAGAUGGGAAGAUUUGUGUCUUGUACAGUCUUCAUCUGGUUUUGUUCUUCUGGUGCAAAAUCAAGUAAGGAUUAGCUGUUGCAAAUAUAAGUCGAACAAAUCAACUCUGUACAAGCUGCAAGGCAUGUUUCAAACCAGCAGGUGGCAACAUAAGACCACACUCAUUCAGAAGUGGUUUUUCAAGCCAAGUCCUUCACCAUCGAAACGAGAGAAACAUAUGCACCCCCAGUUAGGAAAGAAAUCCAUUAUUUUAAACAUGCUUUUGGUCAAUGCUGUUAUUCCCUCCUCAGUAUCUGAAGAGAGAAACCAUUUUCCUCUGUUAUUGUUCAUGGUUUAUGCUACAGCCCUGUCCUCUCAGGAAAUGUUUAAGUGCAGUGGAUAAACCAUUUCCUGCUUCAGAGGUGCAUUCUUAUCUAUUUGAUCUGCAGUAUAUACACAAUUCAUGAGAAAAUAGCGGCUAUUCAAAUGAUCACUUCCAUAAAGAUCCCAUCUUAACCCGUCUUAAACUGGAAGAGGAACCAUCCCUCUGAGCCAUGGAGGACACACCUAUCCUGAAUUGUGUUUGAGCAGGAAGAUUGCAUUAUUGUCUUUUCAAUUCUUACACACACACACUGCAAUUCCGUGCUGUGCAAAAUACUAUUCACGAAUAUUCAUGAAACAAAACUGAACAACGGCAAGAUUAUUCCGAAAGGUUAUUCAUUUGCUUUUGAAUUGCCAAGAUUUUUAAUAAAACAACAAUUCUGUAGACACUGUGUGCAAACAGAUAUAUUGCAAUAAAGACUGAAAAAGAAGCCGAUGCUAAAAAAGAAAAGAAAAAUGGAAUAUCUUGCUGCCUGGGAGAAGUCCCUUCCCAGAGAGACUAUAUAUAUAUAUAUUUCUGAUAUAUCAAAUCACUAUGAGUUUGUGCUACAUUGCAUUCAUUGUUUGACGAAUUUGUGGGGUUUCUUUUUUGCUUUAUUUACAUGCUACUGCGGUUCUGAUAUUAUGAUAGCAAUUGUGACUGUUAAUUUUUAGCACUGUCAUUAUCGUGAGCCGCUUUGAGCUCGAUGUUACUUAACAGAAAAGCAGAAUACGAACAUUAAAUUGAAAUCCAUCUGCAA